GACGAACGCUGGCGGCGUGCUUAACACAUGCAAGUCGAACGGAAAGGCCCCUUUGGGGGUACUCGAGUGGCGAACGGGUGAGUAACACGUGAGUAACCUGCCCUUGACUUCGGGAUAACUUCAGGAAACUGGGGCUAAUACCGGAUAGGAAUCCUUGCUGCAUGGUGGGGGUUGGAAAGCUUCGGCGGUUUUGGAUGGACUCGCGGCUUAUCAGCUUGUUGGUGGGGUAGUGGCUUACCAAGGCUUUGACGGGUAGCCGGCCUGAGAGGGCGACCGGCCACAUUGGGACUGAGAUACGGCCCAGACUCCUACGGGAGGCAGCAGUGGGGAAUAUUGCACAAUGGGCGGAAGCCUGAUGCAGCAACGCCGCGUGCGGGAUGACGGCCUUCGGGUUGUAAACCGCUUUUAGCAGGGGCGAAGCUUGUGGUGACGGUACCUGCAGAAGAAGCACCGGCUAACUACGUG
This 465-nucleotide ribosomal RNA is filed under the name uncultured bacterium. RNAcentral describes it as "partial 16S ribosomal RNA". It matches the Rfam family "Bacterial small subunit ribosomal RNA", at positions 28 to 507 of the family's 1533-position model. The record is from RNAcentral.